AUGCUCUCUUGGGGGCUAUUUCUGAAUCUUUUAACUAGCAGUACUUUUGAUAUAGCCGAGCAUGGUAUACACCGUCUGCAGCAUGGACGGCACGACGAAAAUUGCGGCCGCCGCGAGAAGCGAGACGGCCACCCACGGCGACGGGAAGAAGUGCAGCACGAACCCGCCGCACCACCAGCUCACCCGCCGCCUUCGGUGGCACGCCACCGCGUCGACCAUCUCGCCGAACUCAUCCGGCAGCCUCGCGCCGACUGUCUGCGCCCCGAGCUCCCGGAAGAAGUAGACAAGUUCCGCGUCCGUCAGCCGCGUGGCGGAAAGGACACCUCGCCGGCGCAGAAACGUCGCGUCCUGCGGGCAUCGCACGAGUCCCUCCAUCCGGGCGACGUGCGUCGUCACGCAUGCGCCGUGCGCCCAGUGGAACCGCAUCUCGAAGGCCAGCAUGUUGUACAGCACCGCCGCGCUGUACUCGUGGACGUGGAAGCACGGGAUGCUCAUCACCGCCACGGGGCUCGCCGGCCGGCUCCAGAACGACAUGUCGAGGUCGCCUUGGCAGGUCGACGCCGCCGCCUGCCGGAACCACACCGCCGAGUGCCGCAGCUCCACGGAGCAGGGGAACAGCCGCUCCGACUCCUUCUUGAUCUUGAGGAGCUUCAGUGGCGUCGAGAGGAUGCAGUAUUUGUUAGCCGGCACGCGGGACCAGUGGAAGAGGUGCAGGACGUGAUGGAACUCUGCGCCCGCGGCGUCGCGGGCGAGGCACGCCCGCUUCGGGCAGAUGUCCUCGAAGCAGCCGAGUACCACCUCCUCGACGGAGUGGCGGAGCUUCAGCCUGCCGCAGGAGGCGACGAGCAGCUUCACGGCGGCGAAGGGGACCUGGUUCUCGAGCAACAGCAUGUCGAGCUUGAUCUGCUCGGCGUGCUGCGCCACGGCCAUGUGCAGUAUGAAGUACUCCCGGUUGAUGGACGCCGCCCGCGCCGCGCUGUCGGCGUCCUCGCCGACGCCAGUCUUGCUGAGCAUCAUGCUCACGACGAGGACGAAGCAGCUGUCCAGGAGCAGCAUCUGCAGGAACUUCUCCUCGUCGUCCAGCAGCGCCUUGUCCGUCCCCGCGUCCGCGUCGUCGUCGGCGAACUCGUCGCGGAGGCGGUCGCGCUCCGCCGACAGCGCCGCCACGUACGCGUCGACGUCGAGCCCGCACUGGUCCUGCAGGUACCGCAUGAACGGGAGCUUGGCGUCGUCGGGGAAGGGGAGGCCCCGGUCGCCGCGGUGGAACGGACCGAUGGCCACAGCGCGCACCGCGUGGAGCGCCUCGGCGCCCGCGGCGCGGCGGGUGCGCGGGCGGAGUAUGGUGCCCGAGCGCUCGGCGAGGUACCACAGCAUGGGCGUCCGUGCGAUGAGGUCCCUCAUCACGGCCUUGUUCACAGUCGCCGACGUGAGCUUGCGCAGCCACUUCCGCCCGGCCUCGCCGUCGACGGCGUCCGAUGA
RNAcentral lists this ribosomal RNA (1479 nucleotides) under Triticum aestivum (bread wheat). RNAcentral describes it as "partial small subunit ribosomal RNA". Lineage: Eukaryota; Viridiplantae; Streptophyta; Magnoliopsida; Poales; Poaceae. The record is from RNAcentral.